AUACUUACCUAGCAGGGGUGAUUCCAUAAUCACGAUGGUGGUUUUCCCAGGGCGAGGCUUAUCCAUUGCGCUCCUGAUGUGCUGACCCCUGCAAUUUCCCCAAAUCUGGGACAUGCAACUGUAGAAUUUGUGGUAGUAGAGGACUGUGUUCAUUCUUCCCCCUA
Small nuclear RNA from Hyaena hyaena (striped hyena), 164 nucleotides. RefSeq annotates it as U1 spliceosomal RNA. The transcript has a single exon. Lineage: Eukaryota; Metazoa; Chordata; Mammalia; Carnivora; Hyaenidae. The record is from RefSeq and is a predicted model, not a curated record.